AAAUUGAAGAGUUUGAUCAUGGCUCAGAUUGAACGCUGGCGGCAGGCCUAACACAUGCAAGUCGAACGGUAACAGGAAGCAGCUUGCUGCUUUGCUGACGAGUGGCGGACGGGUGAGUAAUGUCUGGGAAACUGCCUGAUGGAGGGGGAUAACUACUGGAAACGGUGGCUAAUACCGCAUAACGUCGCAAGACCAAAGAGGGGGACCUUCGGGCCUCUUGCCAUCAGAUGUGCCCAGAUGGGAUUAGCUUGUUGGUGAGGUAACGGCUCACCAAGGCGACGAUCCCUAGCUGGUCUGAGAGGAUGACCAGCCACACUGGAACUGAGACACGGUCCAGACUCCUACGGGAGGCAGCAGUGGGGAAUAUUGCACAAUGGGCGCAAGCCUGAUGCAGCCAUGCCGCGUGUAUGAAGAAGGCCUUCGGGUUGUAAAGUACUUUCAGCGGGGAGGAAGGUGUUGUGGUUAAUAACCGCAGCAAUUGACGUUACCCGCAGAAGAAGCACCGGCUAACUCCGUGCCAGCAGCCGCGGUAAUACGGAGGGUGCAAGCGUUAAUCGGAAUUACUGGGCGUAAAGCGCACGCAGGCGGUCUGUCAAGUCGGAUGUGAAAUCCCCGGGCUCAACCUGGGAACUGCAUUCGAAACUGGCAGGCUUGAGUCUUGUAGAGGGGGGUAGAAUUCCAGGUGUAGCGGUGAAAUGCGUAGAGAUCUGGAGGAAUACCGGUGGCGAAGGCGGCCCCCUGGACAAAGACUGACGCUCAGGUGCGAAAGCGUGGGGAGCAAACAGGAUUAGAUACCCUGGUAGUCCACGCCGUAAACGAUGUCUACUUGGAGGUUGUGCCCUUGAGGCGUGGCUUCCGGAGCUAACGCGUUAAGUAGACCGCCUGGGGAGUACGGCCGCAAGGUUAAAACUCAAAUGAAUUGACGGGGGCCCGCACAAGCGGUGGAGCAUGUGGUUUAAUUCGAUGCAACGCGAAGAACCUUACCUGGUCUUGACAUCCACGGAAGAAUUUCAGAGAUGGAUUUGUGCCUUCGGGAACCGUGAGACAGGUGCUGCAUGGCUGUCGUCAGCUCGUGUUGUGAAAUGUUGGGUUAAGUCCCGCAACGAGCGCAACCCUUAUCCUUUGUUGCCAGCGGUCGGCCGGGAACUCAAAGGAGACUGCCAGUGAUAAACUGGAGGAAGGUGGGGAUGACGUCAAGUCAUCAUGGCCCUUACGACCAGGGCUACACACGUGCUACAAUGGCGCAUACAAAGAGAAGCGACCUCGCGAGAGCAAGCGGACCUCAUAAAGUGCGUCGUAGUCCGGAUUGGAGUCUGCAACUCGACUCCAUGAAGUCGGAAUCGCUAGUAAUCGUGGAUCAGAAUGCCACGGUGAAUACGUUCCCGGGCCUUGUACACACCGCCCGUCACACCAUGGGAGUGGGUUGCAAAAGAAGUAGGUAGCUUAACCUUCGGGAGGGCGCUUACCACUUUGUGAUUCAUGACUGGGGUGAAGUCGUAACAAGGUAACCGUAGGGGAACCUGCGGUUGGAUCACCUCCUUACCUUAAAGAA
Molecule: ribosomal RNA, 1552 nt
Filed under: Salmonella enterica subsp. enterica serovar Montevideo str. CASC_09SCPH15965
Lineage: Bacteria; Pseudomonadati; Pseudomonadota; Gammaproteobacteria; Enterobacterales; Enterobacteriaceae
Description: bacterial SSU rRNA
Rfam family: Bacterial small subunit ribosomal RNA
Source: RNAcentral